Molecule: ribosomal RNA, 546 nt
Filed under: uncultured bacterium
Lineage: Bacteria
Description: bacterial SSU rRNA
Rfam family: Bacterial small subunit ribosomal RNA
Source: RNAcentral
GGGGAAUAUUGCGCAAUGGGGGCGACCCUGACGCAGCCAUGCCGCGUGAAUGAAGAAGGCCUUCGGGUUGUAAAGUUCUUUCGGUAGCGAGGAAGGCACUUAGUUUAAUAAACUAGGUGAUUGACGUUAACUACAGAAGAAGCACCGGCUAACUCCGUGCCAGCAGCCGCGGUAAUACGGAGGGUGCGAGCGUUAAUCGGAAUAACUGGGCGUAAAGGGCACGCAGGCGGUGACUUAAGUGAGGUGUGAAAGCCCCGGGCUUAACCUGGGAAUUGCAUUUCAUACUGGGUCGCUAGAGUACUUUAGGGAGGGGUAGAAUUCCACGUGUAGCGGUGAAAUGCGUAGAGAUGUGGAGGAAUACCGAAGGCGAAGGCAGCCCCUUGGGAAUGUACUGACGCUCAUGUGCGAAAGCGUGGGGAGCAAACAGGAUUAGAUACCCUGGUAGUCCACGCUGUAAACGAUGUCGAUUUGGGGGUUGAACUUUGAGUUUGGCACCCGUAGCUAACGUGAUAAAUCGACCGCCUGGGGAGUACGGCCGCAAGGUUA